This 69-nucleotide microRNA precursor is filed under the name Agrilus planipennis (emerald ash borer). Its description in RNAcentral is "mir-71 microRNA precursor family". It matches the Rfam family "mir-71 microRNA precursor family". The record is from Rfam by way of RNAcentral. Lineage: Eukaryota; Metazoa; Arthropoda; Insecta; Coleoptera; Buprestidae.
UCUCUGUGAAAGACAUGGGUAGUGAGAUGUUAAUUUUACUUGUCUCACUACCUUGUCUUUCAUGAAGCA